RNAcentral lists this long non-coding RNA (866 nucleotides) under Helianthus annuus (common sunflower). The record is from RNAcentral. Lineage: Eukaryota; Viridiplantae; Streptophyta; Magnoliopsida; Asterales; Asteraceae.
CCCCUCCCAAAAUUUUAAUCCUUGCUUCUCGCUCCCCUACGUCAAGCCAUAGGCUUUUGCAGAAAUAAAAACCCUAAUUCUUUAUCCUUCCACGAGAACCCUUCCUUUCCUCCCCCUCUCUAUCCUCCCACGGUAUUCUGUUGUUGAAGAUGUCGGCUCCGGCACUGGCACCUCCAGCUCCGAACGCCGGCGGUUCCCUCUGGCGGCUCAUCUGGAGAUGAUGAGAGCGGCGCACUCACACUUUAUUGGUGAUUGAAGUUGCAUUUGGUGCCACGGUAUGUUCAGAUGGCGUAUGGACAAAAGGGAUGUGGUAAGAAAUACGUUCAUCAUGCAAAAGAAGAGAAGUAUGAAAUAUAUCCUGAAAUCAAAGAAUUCCCUGAUGUUAAUCUCAAACAAAAAGAAGAUUUCAGUAAAUUAAUAUGAUGGGGUGAUUGCAAAAGUUUGGGUUUCAUCUCCUUAUUAUUUGAAGGCUGCGGGUCAAGAUUCUGAAAGCUAAGAAACUUGGGCGUGAAUUAUCGGCUCAUGAAGCGUGGAAGCAAUCACACUGCAAGAAAGGAAGUCGACCAUUGGAUAAAGAUCUAAGUUGUAGCAGUCACUACUUUUGGACGUUGAUUCGGAAGGGAACACUCAAGAAGAAAAUCUUGUAUGGGUUGAUGCUAAGGCAGAUGAGACUUGGGUUAAAUAUGAAGGGUUUCUUGUGGAGAAGUAUGGGAAAGAACGUAAUAAACAUCCAAAAUUUGACAGACUUGUGGUCACGAGCUAAGGGCAAGAAUAAAAGAAAAGUGCACGGGUUAUGUAAUGUUAGUGACCCUUGUGUACAUAGCAGAGAAGACCCUAAGAUUGAAAAGUUGAACUUAGUUAUCAAG